GGAUCCGUGGCGCAGUAUGGAUAGCGCAUCUGCCUCCUAAGCAGAGGGUCGCCGGUUCAAAUCCGGCCGGAUCCGCCA
RNAcentral lists this transfer RNA (78 nucleotides) under Candidatus Heimdallarchaeota archaeon. RNAcentral's name for it is "tRNA-Arg". It matches the Rfam family "tRNA". Rfam says of the family: Transfer RNA (tRNA) molecules are approximately 80 nucleotides in length. Lineage: Archaea; Promethearchaeati; Candidatus Heimdallarchaeota. RNAcentral also lists the same sequence under 1 other name. The record is from RNAcentral.